UGUCUCUCUCUCUCCUCUUUCUCUUUUCUUUUUGCCAUUGCGAUGGAGUUAUGGAGCGCCAUCAAAGGUGAUUCUCUCCUAAUAAAAAAAAAUUAAAGAAAGUUGCUAGCAAUUGGAGGAGAUGGCUAGGGUAAUUUCUUUUGACAGAAAGUUGGUAAAUUCUCUUUCCUUUCCUCUAAUCGAUUUUUAGAGUUUUAUUUAUGUUAAUUUCCCUUUGAUUUAUUUUUCAAAUUCGUUUUUUUUUAUAGAAAAUUCUAUUUUAUGAUUUUUUUUCUUCCUCGAACAAGCUUGUUAUAUAAGGGGGUCUAUUAUGUUAUUUAUGCAUAUAUGCAAUGAGCCGAUUUCUGCAAGUAGUGCUCUUUCACGGUAUGAAAUUAUGCGUUGAUUUUUCAAUUGCUUACCAUUUUUCUUUUAUGUGCAUACAUGAUACGUGGUUCUCCUUUUUCGAGAAACUUGAUCUUGAAGGUCUAUCCGGCUAUGUUCAUAGAAAAUGUUACUGAACUCGCAUUUGAUGAUAUCACACCUGAGGAUCCUGACUUCACAUUCAUCCAAGGUUUGGCAGAAGCUGGACUCAUAUCUAGCAAGCUUUCAAGACAUGAUAUGCUUUCUUCUGCUGAUGAAGAGAUAGAUCUCUCUGCUUUGUGCUUAUAUUCACCAGAGAUGUUUGAGGAUGCAUUUGAGCCUCACAGCCCUUGGAAGCUUAUGCCUAAUUUGACUGAUGAUUCUUCAUUAAUUAAUGUGGAAUUAUAUGAGUUUCUUCAGGCUUCCCUUCCUAAUAUCGUGAAAGUUUCAUCUUGUCUCUUUCAACUGAAGGGCAGUACUUUAAAACAUGGUAUUUCACUUCGCACUCUGAUACGGAGAAGUGCUGAUAUUUCUGGUCCUGCCUUAUUGAUUGUCGGAGAUAGAAAGGGUGCUGUAUUUGGUGGGCUCCUUGAUUGUCCUCUUAAACCUUGUCCAAAGCGGAAAUACCAAGGAACAAACCAUUCUUUUAUUUUUACGACUAAAUUUGGUGCACCAAGGCUAUUUAGAGCAACAGGUUUGGAGGUGUUGAAAUCUGAAGUUUUGGUGAAUCAUUUAAAAAUCGAGUCUGAAAUUGCAGCUGAUGCAUUACUAGAUUAUGUUACAUUUCAAAUUUUGCCAGAAAACAGAUAUGGUGCAUGCAUAUGUAGUGAGGAGAAAGAGGAAAUGGUUGGGGAUGGUCCUCUUGAGCAGCUCUUGGAACAUGUACCCUACAUAAAGGAUCAAAUCGUUAAAGGAUCCUGUGAUAACUUCAAAUUAGAGUUACCCAAUCCCACUGGUGACAAUGGAUGGUUCACAAAAGCCACGUUAAUGAGGUUUCUUCAUGUGAUUGGUUCCCCAGAUGCACUUAAUAAGUUCAUUGCUGUCAGUAACGAGUUGUCCCAGCUGGAGGAAACGAGAAAGUGUUAUCUUUCAUUACAUAUCCAGCUACAGGGCGAUAGGAGCGCAUCAUCAGAUAACUCAAACGAGUUUUCAGAUAUACUUGGUUGGGAGAACUUCAAACGGGUGCUUGCGGAUGAUGUAAGAAUGUUUCAUCACUGCCUUCAACCGUUGUUAAUGGACCAGCUAAAGAGAAUCAAACUCCUUUUGAAGCCACACCACAUUCAUUAGAUCCGUCAACACUACCUUGGACGGGAAUUUUUGGAUCUGAAGUGUUGUAUUGAUUUAUGGCUAUAGUAAUUUGGUUUGACAGAAAGUUAGCAAUUAGAAAGUUGGAUGGGUCUAAAAGAGUAGAAUAUCAAAAAGUCUUGAACGCCCAAAUGACAGCUGCCAUGAGAAAGUAGAGAGUAGAAAAGGAAGGGAAGAUAGUGAUGAGUCCUAACAAAAUCUCAGGGUUCAGGUUCUUAAGAAGGAAGGGAAAGUUGAGUAUAUCAUUGCCUUGCAGUGCCUUUUCUUUGUAAUUAUAUUUUUUGGUUCCUAGAAGAAGAAAGAGAUCUUUAUUUGCAGAAACCUUUCUUCAUCCCUUGUUUAUAGUAUUUGAAUUUAUGAUUCACUCAUCAGUCUACAAGUGCUUCUUCAAAGCUCUUUUAUGUUUGUUACUGUACUCAUUUUAUAAAGGCCUCUCUUUUUAAAAA
Beta vulgaris subsp. vulgaris (sugar beet) is the source of this 2093-nucleotide RNA transcript. RefSeq lists it as uncharacterized. The transcript is spliced from 14 exons. Lineage: Eukaryota; Viridiplantae; Streptophyta; Magnoliopsida; Caryophyllales; Amaranthaceae. The record is from RefSeq and is a predicted model, not a curated record.